GCGGCCGCCGCCCGCUUUGCGCCGCUCCUCCCUGCGCGAGUGGCGCUGGCCCCGGCGUCGAGGCGGCCAUGGCGACCCGGAGCCCGCUCCCCACCCACCCCGCCUGCUCCGCCCUCCCCUCCGCCCCGCGCCACCUUUGAUGGCUCGGACCUCAGCCGGCCACCGCCAGCCCUGCUCGCGCGCCCGCGCCGCCGCCGCCCGCGGGUAUUAAUAGCCGGCGCCGCCGCGCCCUCGGCCGCCGGGGGCUUGGGAGCCGCCGAUCCCGGAGCCUGAGCCGGGAGAGGGAGCCGCCGCAGCCGCCGGCGCUGUGGAGAUGGAAUCUUGCUCUUGUUGCCCAGGCUGGAGUGCAAUGGCGUGAUCUCAGCUCACUGCAACCUCCGCCUCCCAGGUUCAAGCGAUUCUCCUGUCUCGGCCUCCUGAAUAUUCUCUAAGC
Molecule: small RNA, 433 nt
Filed under: Pongo abelii (Sumatran orangutan)
Lineage: Eukaryota; Metazoa; Chordata; Mammalia; Primates; Hominidae
Description: processed transcript
Source: RNAcentral